This 460-nucleotide ribosomal RNA is filed under the name uncultured bacterium. Its description in RNAcentral is "partial 16S ribosomal RNA". It matches the Rfam family "Bacterial small subunit ribosomal RNA", at positions 338 to 795 of the family's 1533-position model. The record is from RNAcentral.
CCUACGGGAGGCUGCAGUGAGGAAUAUUGGUCAAUGGACGAGAGUCUGAACCAGCCAAGUAGCGUGAAGGAUGACUGCCCUAUGGGUUGUAAACUUCUUUUAUAAAGGAAUAAAACGAGGCACGUGUGCCUUUUUGCAUGUACUUUAUUAAUAAGGAUCGGCUAACUCCGUGCCAGCAGCCGCGGUAAUACGGAGGAUCCGAGCGUUAUCCGGAUUGAUUGGGUUUAAAGGGAGCGUAGAUGGGUUGUUAAGUCAGUUGUGAAAGUUUGCGGCUCAACCGUAAAAUUGCAAUUGAUACUGGCAGUCUUGAGUACAGUUGAGGUAGGCGGAAUUCGUGGUGUAGCGGUGAAAUGCUUAGAUAUCACGAAGAACCCCGAUUGCGAAGGCAGCUUACUAAACUGUGACUGACAUUGAUGCUCGAAAGUGUGGGUAUCAAACAGGAUUAGAUACCCUAGUAGUC